Molecule: ribosomal RNA, 253 nt
Filed under: uncultured bacterium
Lineage: Bacteria
Description: partial 16S ribosomal RNA
Rfam family: Bacterial small subunit ribosomal RNA
Source: RNAcentral
UACGUAGGGACCAAGCGUUGUUCGGAUUUACUGGGCGUAAAGGGCGCGUAGGCGGCGCGGUAAGUCACUUGUGAAAUCUCUGAGCUUAACUCAGAACGGCCAAGUGAUACUGCAGUGCUAGAGUGUGGAAGGGGCAAUCGGAAUUCUUGGUGUAGCGGUGAAAUGCGUAGAUAUCAAGAGGAACACCUGAGGUGAAGACGGGUUGCUGGGCCAACACUGACGCUGAUGCGCGAAAGCCUGGGGAGCAAACGGG